Molecule: long non-coding RNA, 1372 nt
Filed under: Mus musculus (house mouse)
Lineage: Eukaryota; Metazoa; Chordata; Mammalia; Rodentia; Muridae
Description: long non-coding RNA chr18:75027963-75029335
Source: RNAcentral
CUCUCUUUCUUUCUUUUUUUUUUUUUUUUUCCAAGACAGGGUUUCUCUGUAUAGCCUUGGCUGUCCUGGAACUCAUUUUGUAGACCAGGCUGGCUUCAAACUCAGAAAUCCCCCUGCCUCUGCCUCCCAAGUGCUGGGAUUAAAGGCGUGUGCCACCACUGCUCGGCCUUGCUUUUUUGAUUAUGGAGUUUCAUUGGCUUUUUUUUUUUUUUUAUGAUUUUGUAGAUUUGUUUGUUUGUUAUUUUACUUUGAUUUUUGAGAUAAAACCUUAGUAGUAUUCCUGGCUGGCUGCAUUAAGUAUCCCUGACCAGCCUCAAACUUUGAGGCCUCCGCCUGCCUCUGCCUCCAGGUGUUGGGAUCAAAGCCCAGCUUUUUGUUCUGCUUUUAAUACUAGGGUUCCUUUUUAUUCUUUGGUUACUCUUCUGUCUGCAUGUGCCUGUGUUUGCUGCUGUGUACUGUGUCAGGGACCACCUGUCAGUCUCCCCAACACUGGUAUUAGAAAAUGACACCCUUGCUUGCCUUGGCUUCUCACACAGGUACUAGGAGUCUGAACUCAGGUCCUACCUCCUUCAUGACAAGCGCUUUGCUGGCCGAGCCAUCUUUCCUAGCCCCGAAUGUUUUCAUUUUUGAUGCUAUCCUGUUCUUGGUUCAUGAACCAGUGUGUUGUACUGACAGUGUGAUGGCUGUGGGGGUGGGGGGGUUAAGAGAAUGCUAUAGUGUGAUGGCUGUGGGUGUAAGAGAAUGCUACAGUGUGAUGGCUGUGGGGGGUAAGAGAACACUCUUUUGCACCUUACCUGCUUGGGUUUGUUUGACAUCUGCCUUGAUGCUUUAUGGUUCUGUAAUUUUAGGGAAAUUUAAUUUUUUUUUUUUAAGACCAAGGAGUGGUAGGAAUUUUGAAGAAAGGGCCAGAUUACAAAUAUUUUAGUGUUCGGAAGGUAAAUUGGAAGAGACUAUAAUAAGAGAGAAGACAUUUCUCCAAGUUUUUUGAAGUUUGAGAUGCAUCCCUAGGAGUUGGGGAUGUAGUGUUGGUACAGUGCUUGCCUAGCAUCCAGACGGUGCUAGAUUCUGUCGCUAGGACUUUAUAGCAUGGGUAUGUUGGCACACGCCUGUCAUCCCAGCACUUGAGAGGUUGAGUCAGAAGGAUCAGAAGUUCAAGGCCACCCUUGGCUCCAUAGCAAGUUUAAGGCCAGCUUGGGCUAUGUGAGACCCUGCCAUAAGGAUGAUUGUUUUUUGAAAGCUAGGCAUGAUGGUGCAUGCUUGUAGUCUUAGCACUCAGGAGGCUUAGGAAGAGGGGUUGCCAUAUGUUUAAAGCCAGCCAAAUUAGUUAACUAUUGAAUUCAGGCUUAGUCUGGCAUACUGAGACUCUAUCUUC